AGGAGUGUGCAGGCGCGUCCUUUUAGGCUGUGCAUGCUUAUUAUUUGCUUAAUGAUUGCGUUUAUGAGUCAUGAUUGGAAAGUAGUGAGACGAUUAUUGAUUAGUCGUUUUGGUUGUGGAAAUAGGAUGGAUGGGAAUAUAAUGAUUGCAAUAACGAGGGGUAGGCCUAAGAGUGUAGGGGUAGUGAAAGGGGUGAAUAAAUUUUCGUUCAUUUUAGUUCUCAAGGAUUAGAUGCUUUGGUGUAUAGAAAAUUUUUGGUCUGUGGUUGUGGGUGGAAAGUGAAGGUUUUAAAUUUUAAUUGGAAAAUAAUGAAUAGGGUAAAUGUAGUUCUCCAGGAUUGGCUGGUUUGGUG
Dipodomys spectabilis (banner-tailed kangaroo rat) is the source of this 352-nucleotide long non-coding RNA. RefSeq lists it as uncharacterized. The transcript is spliced from 4 exons. The record is from RefSeq and is a predicted model, not a curated record. NCBI's taxonomy places the organism in Eukaryota, Metazoa, Chordata, Mammalia, Rodentia, Heteromyidae.